CAGAAUAUAGCUAAACUUAUAGUACUUCACUUACACUGAAGAGUUACCCGUGCAAAUCGGACUAUUCUGA
RNAcentral lists this transfer RNA (70 nucleotides) under Moema staecki. RNAcentral's name for it is "tRNA-Val". It matches the Rfam family "tRNA". From Rfam's summary of the family: Transfer RNA (tRNA) molecules are approximately 80 nucleotides in length. The record is from RNAcentral. Lineage: Eukaryota; Metazoa; Chordata; Actinopteri; Cyprinodontiformes; Rivulidae.